Molecule: long non-coding RNA, 224 nt
Filed under: Elaeis guineensis (African oil palm)
Lineage: Eukaryota; Viridiplantae; Streptophyta; Magnoliopsida; Arecales; Arecaceae
Description: long non-coding RNA (EGUI_LNC011621)
Source: RNAcentral
GAAUGCUUCACCCUCUUAAGAAUAGAAUGAUUCUAUAGUUGUAACUAUGCGAUCUUGUACACUUUAUAUAUAUAUACUUGUUAUUGAAAAUAAUAAUAUAAUACAUUCUAGUCAUUAAUUUUUUUUUUUACAAAAUUCCCAUGAAUAGGUCAAGAAGUAUUAAAACUCAUGAUGUCCGUGGAAUACCAAAUUUUAUUGGAUCCAGCUGCAAAUUCUCUGUGCCC